RNAcentral lists this long non-coding RNA (16108 nucleotides) under Homo sapiens (human). RNAcentral's name for it is "non-protein coding lnc-TMEM242-10:1". The record is from RNAcentral. Lineage: Eukaryota; Metazoa; Chordata; Mammalia; Primates; Hominidae.
AGAGGGCUCACAGUAACGAAGAAAGCACCAAGCACUGGCUGGGAGCUGAGACCUCUGACUGCUCAGAACAAACCAAAGAGAUUAAACUUUAUGUAAGGAGCAACAACCAGAACAGCUGCCUUUUAUAGAAAGGCCGUCUGCAAUGGAUGCGCCCACUUCCUGGUCCCUCAGCCCCAGCUGUCACUUUUCAACCCACUACAAUGAAGUCUCCGUUUCCACGGAAAACGCUCUUAUGGAGGUGAACGGCCUCCCAAUGGCCAAAGGUGAGACGGCUUCCCGGCUUCUCUCCUGAGCUCUGUAGAACCUCACGCUGGCCCCUCUCCCGUGGCCUGACUCCCUCCUAGUGCGGCUUCCAGCUCCCCAUCCUUUCUGUUCCCUCCCACACACCUGACCGCUGUUUUCCUCCAGCAUCCCCUUCUGAUCGGCUCUUCCACCUUCUCCCAGGAUUCUCCUCAUCCAAACCCACAGCCAGGGCUUCCCCAGUGUCAAGCACCAGGCUACCCUCUCUUCUGGGUGCCAGACCCACACAUCCUGCGAGCUGGUGCGCUUCUCCCCCUGAGUGCCCCGUAGGCCCCUCAAACUCAACGAGUCAGCUCCAUGAAGUGGGGGCCAAACUGCUCUGUGGGUCACCCUCGAUCCUAAGACCCUAAUGCGGCAUGUGGCAUGCCAUUGGCAUUCCAUAAAUGACUGUUGAAUGUUCCAAACCAAAUUCAUUGAUUUUUCCCUUAAAAUUGCCUCUCUUCUUGGAAUCCCCAUCUCAGUGAAUGACACCAUCCAAUCAUCCAAGUCGAGUCCUUAGGUCAUCCUAGCUGUCCCUUCCCCACCUCCCCACCCAGCAUCCAUUCAGUGUCAAGCUGUGCAGCUCUCAUCUCCAUAACGUUCCUUGUGCCAGAUCCCUCCUGCCCAACCCAGAACCACCACCUUGCGGGAGGCUCUCACAUCUGAACGUGAGCAGCAUGACCGCCUCCUUUAGACCUUCCACCCCUGGUCUGGCAGCCUCAGAUUCACUGCCCCAGGAUCCUCACACUCUGACCCCAUCUGCCUCUCUAGGUAGAAUGCAGGGGACUAGAUGGGGAGCCAGUCUGGUUGGGGGAUCAGGAGACUUCUGUGAGGAAGUGCCUAUUGAGAUGACCUCUGCAAGAUAGUAGGAGGUGGUUAGGCAAAGACCUGUGGGGUGGCAGAGGGCAGAGCAGCAAGCAUUACAGAGGAAACAGGUGUCCAAGGGUUCUAAGGUUGGCAGGGGCACAGCACGUUCUAGAAGCUACAAGACAGCCGGUGUGGCUGGAGCCCAGGCAGCAAAAUGCAGCAUCUGGCCAGAUGAGGCUGCAGGGGAAACAGGGACCGGAUGGCCCAGGGGCUGGGGAUGCAGGCAAGAAUUUUAGUUUCUACUUCAGAACACCAGGAAGCAGAAGAGUGACAUGAUCAAGUCUGCCUUUUGAAAAGAUCCCUCUUCAAAAAUGCUUAGUUAAUGAAGUAAUGAUGGAUAAUUUCCUAACAUGAUAAAAUGCAGAUAUCGCAACCAAAAUUCAGCAUUUAGAAAGGGAACACUAGUCGCAUUUCACUAUUGAAAAGCAAGACACAAUGUCCGCUAUCAUUGUUCUUUGAGGAGCUGGCCAACAUAAUUGGGUGAGAAAGAAAUUAGAGAUUUAAAAAUGAGGAAAAAAGAGGUACAGCUCUCACUAUUUGCAUAUGAUAUGCCUAUACAGCUAAAAACCCCCAAAGAAUCCAUUAAGAAACUACUCAAACCAUAAGAGAAUUCAGUAGGGUGGUAGAAGCAAGUUAAUAUGUAGAAAUCAAUAACUUGCUUGUAUAUGAACAAUAACCAGUUUCAAGAGAUAUUAGAAGGAAAGGCCUCCAUUUAUAAUAGAAGCAAGAGGGUGAAAUUAACAGUAAAUGAAACAAGAGUUGUACAAGAUCCUUAUGAAGAGAAUUUAAAUUAACCUGAGGGACGCAGAAAACUUGAUGUCCAUUCCUGGACAGGAAGAUUCAACAAUAAGACAAUGUCAAUGCUUCCUAAAUUAAUCUAUAAACAUAAUGCAACCCCAAUAAAAAUAACAAUGGGAGUCUUAAACAUCAGAACACUCUUGAUUUUGGAGUUUAUAUGAAAAGCUCCCUCUGGCUGCAGUGUGGCUGGCUAUGGACUGAAGAGUGAGAGUGGGCGGGCUGGCGGGUGACCUAGGACACCUGGCAGGGAUCCUGCUGAAGAAGCUGGGCCCAGCUGACUCUGGGGCCUGGGGUGGGGUUGGGGACGCAGUGAAGGGCACAUUUGAGAGAUAUUUCUAUGGAGAAAUUCCCAGGCCGUUGUGAUUGAUUGGAUAGGGGAGGUGAGAAAGAGAAGUCAAACCAGGACUCCCGGUUUGUUCAUUUAAUCAUUAAUCGAAUCUCCUGCAAACUUAUCCCCAUGUUACUAAAAUCACUGCUCGGGGCAGGGUUUCUGGGCCCCCAGACAGAUUUCACAAGAACCUCCAGAAAGGCUUUUUAACCAGUUGUUUGUUCAUAGCCAAGCGAAGCACCACGUUUGCUCUCUGACUCUGCUAAUCAGGUGUUCCGCUUAGAGCUUUGGAGAACAGGACGGCUUCAAGCUCAGAAAGCCUCAGAAAGACACUUGUUCUCUCCCUAUCUGUGCUGUCAGUCCCCCUUUUGAUUCAAAAUCGCACCACCAAAAAAUAGGGCAGUGAUUGUGUUUGAGUUUGACCUCGUCAGAUUCAACGUUUACUUGAGCUGUGGCUUGACAUCUCCAUACUGCCUUCACUCUUCUUUAAUAAACAAAUAAGUCCUGAAGGCAAAACAAAAUUUCUCACCACCACUGGCAUACCAUUUUAUCACAGCAAUAUCCCUUUAAGGUUUGCCUUUUUUCCCCUCUGUUCAGAAUUCUUUUCAACACAUUUUUCAGACAGAACAAAGUGAGUUUAAAUAUAUCACACAGUGGCUGCCUCUCAAACAUCUACAGAAAUCAUUUCAGUGAAUGUGUUGUUUGAUAUGAAAAAGAAGUGUAUUUGGUUUGGGUGCGAACAGACUGUUAUGCAAAGCACGCAUCUGUUAAAACUCAGGUGAAAUAAGCCGAAGCUUUGGAUGGGACAAGUUGAGGCCCAGCUUACCUCAAGCGCCUGCCAGGCUGGGCUUUGUUUGGGAGCUACACAAGCGCUGAUGGAUGCCUGAACCAGUGUGCUCUGAAACCUCAUAUUGCACACGAAUCGCCUGGGGGGUCAGAGUCUGCAGGUCUGGGGUGGAACCUGAGAUUCUGCUUUUCCAAUGAGCUCCUACACGAUGCCAUCCUCCAAAUCCACAGAUGGCACCUGGAGUGGUGAGAGUUUAAAUCGGCUCAGCAAGUUGGAAGCCACAUUUCUCAAGGAUUAGCCUGUAGGUUGGGAUGCAUUCUCCUUGCUUACAAAACAGAGAUUUUGCCACCGUCUUAUGUCAAACAACUUCAGAUCUAACAAGUGGAUGUUUUCAAGUCUCUUCAGACUAUAAUAUUUGGAGGUCAGAAUACCCAAUCUCAGUGUUAUACAUGCCGAAAAUUCAUACCUGGAAAAUCCCGCAAUGCUUAGUAAACCCUCACCAAUUUGGAUUAAAUAAAAGGGGAACUUUAUUUAUGAAAUUUUAAAAAUAUAAUCCUGCUUAUUACUUUCAUCUGCUUCCCUAGGGAUAAUGUUAUUAUACCUCAUUUGCACUAAGAAAAAAAAGUCUAGGUCUUCCCAGCACCCUGCCGCACCAUAUGAAUAAUCACAAAUUCCAAAUAAAAGGAAAAGGAUUUUCAAGAGUCCUCCUACAUUUAAAAUUAAAAGGUCCCUAAAACUUACAAUAUCUGUGUCAGUUCCUUCAGCUGUGACUAUCCGGCCAGUGGGGCUUCAUUCAUCCCAUUUUUGAGGUGGGAAAAUUAAGGCCUAAAGUCACAUGAAAAGUCAGUAGAACUCAAAGUCAAUGCCACUUUGGGGACCUUAUUAAGCUAAGGAAUAUCAACAACAAUAACUUUUACCCAUUCAAGUGCCAGCUGCCUUGAGGGAAGGUUUGUGUCUCCUGACAAGCAUAUGAUCUCAGUCUAGUUUGUUUGGCCUGGAAAACAUUUUCCUUAUCGACUGAAAAGUAGAAUGCAUGAGAAAGAGUAAAUGAACUGCUUUUUAAAAAGAGGGGAAGUAAAGUUAGUAAAGCACACACAUUUCAGCUGCUUUUCCUAUAACUACACAGAUCUGUGCUCCUUGACCCAAAAGGCCAUCGGGACAGAUUGUGGGAAGAGCCACUCUGUUUUGCAAAGAAGUAUAUAAAAUACAGAAUAAAAAGGUACAAAAUUUAAAAAUAUAAAAAGCACAGAAGGGGUCGAUACAAAUGCCUUGGGCAUGCUAUUACUGUACUAUCUCUUCCUCCUCCUGGUUAUCACAGAGAGGGCUUACCGUGCCCGUCCUGAUCAUGGAGAGUAGAAACCUUAAAACAUGGGGCAUCUUUAAAAAUCAUUAAAUGAAAACAGAGUGUAGAGUCUGCCACAUAGCAAGUGCCCAUGAGAAGCUUUCAGUUACCUCGGGUUCUAUGAAAACCAGUAACCUGCCACUGAUGGUCUUCCCACUGUCCUAUCAGAGCUGAUUGCUUCCCGGGGUAACGCUCCACUAGAGGCUGCUGAGUUUAGCUUCAUAAUAGCGAACGGGUCCCUUCUAUUCCUUUAAAUCUGGGAUGUGUGGGAUGGAAGUACAGAAUCCAGAAAUGGAGAUGGAAUUUUUUAAAAUCUGGAACAUUCAUUGAACAUGUAUGGGAAACAUCUGGCAGAGAAAAAAAAAAUACAAUUUGCAUUGUUUCUCUGACAGCAACCCUUGCACCAAUGUCCACAUCUAUCUUAACACAGAGAGUUUUCUGACAUCCCACCCUCAAUCCACCUUUCUGUGUUACUGUUAUCCCUUGAUUAAUAAAGCUAACCUAAGACUAUCCAGAGAAGAGCCUCCAGAUGCCUGGAAAUGCUCUGGAUGGGGCUGGGGAAAGCUACAGUCCAGCCGGUUGGAAAGGGCUCUCAACUGAGACCCAGGUACGUGGGUUCGAGUUUCCUCACCUCAUCAGUUUCUUACCUGCUAAGUGGAGCUAAAUCGCCUGCCCCUCAGAAUCGUUAUGAGGCUCUUGAAGCCUAGAACGAGUUCAAUACAUGCUGAGUGAAUGAAUGCAUCUUCAGAUGAAAUAAUUAUGUGAAACACACAAUCCAGGCCGGGCGCGGUGGCUCACACCUGUAAUCCCAGCACUUUGGGAGGCCAAGGCGGGUGGAUCACCUGAGCUCAGGAGUUCCAGACCAGCCUGACCAACAUGGUGAAACCCCGUCUCUACUAAAAACACAAAAAUUAGCCGGGCGUCAUGGUGGGUGGCUAUAAUCCCAGCUACUUAGGAGGCUGAGGCAGGAGAAUUGCUUGAACGCAGGAGGCGGAGGUUGCUGUGAGCCGGGAUUGUGCCACUGCAUUCCAGCCUGGGCGACAGAGCAAGACUCUGUCUCAAAAAAGAAAAAAGAAACACACAAUCCAAAUGUUAGUUGUUACUAUUCUUUUAGUGCUUUUCCAUUAAGGCUCUCAAAGCACAGUACACUGAGCAGUUUGCUUUUAUCUUUUUUUUUUUUUUUUUUUUUUUUUGAGACGGAGUCUGGCUCUGUAGCCCAGGAUGGAGUGCAGUGGCACGAUCUCAGCUCACUGCAAGCUCCGCCUCCCGGGUUCAUGCCAUUGUCCUGCCUCAGCCCCUCCGAAUAGCUGGGACUACAGGCGACCGCCACCACACCCAGCAAAUUUUUUUUUUAAUAUUUUUAGUAGAGACGUGGUUUCACCGUGGUCUCGAUCUCCUGACCUCGUGAUCCACCUGCCUCGGCCUCCCAAAGUGCUGGGAUUACAAGCGUGAGCCACCGCGCCCAGGCAGUUUGCUUCUAUCUUGACUUAUGGAAAACUUUUAGACUCCAAGCUCUUGGUAUAAAGUCUACUUGAUAUCAAUUCUGGGCUCUGCGGUCAUAAUAACACCCAUCUUUAUUUACAGUGCCCUUUUUUAGUAACACUGAGGAUUUGCUACAAAAAAAAAUAAACUGAAGUGCCUUACUAAAAAAGGUAUUACGUUAGUUCAGAUGUGUUCUGCUGCAAAGCAUCAGAAAACCUAACUGAAGCUAGCUUAACUCAGAUGAGGUGGGGUCAUCUGAGACCUCAGGCCCUCCCCUGAGCUGAAGAUCAGGACGGCUGCUCCUGAGGCCUACCGCACAGGGCUCUGUUGCCAAGGAAGAGGAGCGCAAUGUUUAGUGGAUAGGCAACCAACAAGGCCACUGCAGACACCUAACAGCACAUCUCUCCAUUCAAGCAGUGGCUCCCAUCCGUCCUUGAUGUUGUCUCUCUUUCUGAGUCAUUCGCUCCUACUAGGCUGAAAUGUGACCAAGUUCUGACCUAUGCUCGUAGAGAGCAACCUACUUCUAUAGAGUGAAGGAAGGGAAGUCAUUACUGAAAUGUGCUCAAAGCUGACCGAGGCCACUCAGUCGCACUGGUAAUGGCCCACCACUUCAAUGACUACACCUCCUCUCCUUCAUCAGUGCCUCAAUUCAGCCCACCACUUCAAUGACUACACCUCCUCUCCUUCAUUAGUGCCUCGAUUCAGCCCACCCCUUCAGUGACUAUACCUCCUCUCCUUCAUUAGUGCCUCGAUUCAGCCCACCCCUUCAAUGACUAUACCUUCUCUCCUUCAUCAGUGCCUUGAUUCAGCCCACCCCUUCAAUGCCUAUACCUUCUCUCCUCUCAUCAGUGCCUUGACUCAGCCCACCCCUUCAAUGACUAUACCUUCUCUCCUCUCAUCAGUGCCUUGAUUCAGCCCACCCCUUCAAUGACUAUACCUUCUCUCCUCUCAUCAGUGCCUCGAUUCAGCCCACCCCUUCAAUGACUAUACCUUCUCUCCUCUCAUCAGUGCCUUGAUUCAGCCCACCCCUUCAAUGACUAUACCUUCUCUCUCAUCAGUGCCUCGAUUCUGCUUUCCCACUGUGAGGGUUUUCAUUCCAUGCUAGAGACCUUAAAAUAACCUGGGGAGAUGGCAAAUAAGCACAUGAAAAGAUGCUCCAUGUCUCACGUCAUUAGGAAAUUGCAAAUUAAAACAACAGUAAGAUACUACUACACAUUUACUAGCAUGGCUAAAAUCCACAACACUGACAACACCAAAUGCUGACAAGGAUGUGGAGCAGCAGGAACUCUCAUUCACUGCCUAUGGAAAUGAAAAAUGGUGUAGCCACUUUAGAACACAAUGUAGUGGUUUCCUACACAGCUAAACACAGUCUUACCAUAUAUCCAGCAAUCACGUCCCCUGAAAACUUAUGUCCACACACAAACCUACCCAGGAAUGUUUAUGGAAACUUCAUUCAUAAUUGCCAAAAAUUGUAAGCAACCAAGAUGUCCUUCGUUAGGUAUAGAAAAACAAAUGGUGGUAUAUCCAUACAAUGGAAUAUUACUCAGCAAUACAAAGAAAUGAGCUAUCAAGCCACAAAAAGAUACAAAGGAACCUUGGAUGCACAUGGUUAAGUGAAAGAAGCCAAAUGAAAAGGCAACAUCUUGCAUGAUCCCAACUCUACGACAGUCGGGAAAAGACAAAACUAUAGAAACAGUAAAAAGACUAGUGGUUGCCAGACUUCGGGCAGAGGAUGGGGAGGGUGUAUGGGGAAUUUACAAGGCUAUUUUGUAUGAUACUGUACCAUACAGGGAAUUUAGAAGGCUUUUUUGUUUGAUACAGUAUCAUACAAAAUAGCCUUUCUGAUAUGAAAAAACUAUUUUGUAUGAAACUGUAAUGAUGGGCACAUGACAUUAGGCAUGACAUAAAUCCAUAGAAUAUACAACACAAAGAGUAAACCCUAAACUGUAGACUUUAGUUAAUAAUCAUGAAUCAAUAUAGGUUGAUCGAUUGUAACAAAUGUACCACACUAUCAUCACAGCCAAAGACUGGAGGGACAACCUCAGGAGGAAGACAGCAGGAAAUGAAAACUCAUUUCCGCCGACAUGGGGAUCCCACAGUCCCUAGAGGAGAAAAAUGGUUGAAUUCCCCAGUCCUAUUCCAAGCCUGCUGCUCCACAAAUGGCCCUAAACCUGCAAGUGCAUUUGAAUUGUAUCACAAGGACUACACUAUAUAUGACCUCCUAGCAUCUUAUAGUGCAAUCGUCCAGUACAAUUCUUCAGCAGUCCAAUAUAAUAACUGAAUUGCUAAAAGUUCCCUGAGUGCUUUCUACCCAGCUUAGUAACUCUGUCUUUAAAUAGCCUUAUCUUGGACAUAUGUGUGGGGCUCUGACUAACAAGGAAACAUACACCUGGUGGAUGAUUUGGAGAUGGGUCUAUUUGAAGAAGUUUGGCGCUACAUUCACUCACUAAAAUGUUUCUGGAAUACUGAACUGGGUAUUUGCUGAGAGAUGGGGAAUGGGUUGAGGAGGGUAGAACAUAGCUAUCUGUAUUUCAUUGUGUAGGAAAAUGGCACACUCGAAGUCUUGAAGCAAUUUAAUCAUUUAAAGGCCUCUCUGUGUUCCCAAAAUAUGAACAAGCCAUGUUUCCAGGCCUACGUUUUAUUAAACCUAUCAUUUUUCCCCACUGCUUUGGACAUCCUUCCUAGAUAAAGGGCACAGGCCUCUGAUAAUGAACAGUCAAAUAAAAACAUGUCCUGUUCCAUACAUCCUCUAGAAAGCAAAGUGCAACACACUCAGCUUUAUAGCCCACUUCUCGAACUGCUUAACCCUCGUUCAUGCCUGUAGGAGUAUAAAUUGGUUCCAUAUCUUCAUAAGUCAAUUUGGGAAUAUUCUGCAAACUUUUAAUGUAGCUUUAAAAUCGCUGACCCAGCAAUUCCAUUUGCAUGACUUCAUCGUUUUACCAAGUGUAAAAACUGACCUCUAACACACACUCCACCCUGACCUCUGAUGGGUUUGAGAAUGGGCCAUAAGACACGCGUGGGACAGGGCCUCCUCACUUCUGAGAAGGACCCAGGGGAAGCCACGGCCUCACCUUUUCCUGAUGUCAGGUCUGGAUGUGUCCCCUGGAGUCAGUGCAGCCAUCCUGGGACCAUGUGGGGUAAGUGCAGAGGAGGAAAGUGCCUGGGCCCCGAGACAUCGCUAAGCAGAUGGACCAACAGGUCCUGCAGUCGGCCUGACCCUGGGCUUCUUCGUCUUUUUUUUUUUUUUUUUGAGAUGGACUCUCGCUCUGUCGCCCAGGCUGGAGUGCAGUGGCACAAUCACAGGUCACUGCAAGCUCCGCCUCCUGGGUUCAGGCCAUUCUCCUGCCUCAGCCUCCUGAAUACCUGGGACUACAGGCACCCGCAACCACGCCCGGCUAAUUUUUUGUAUUUUUAGUAGAGACGGGGUUUCACCACAUUAGCGUGAUCCGCCCGCCUCGGCCUCCCAAAGUGCUGGGAUUACAGGCGUGAGCCACCAUGCCUGGCCUUCUUCGCCUUUACGGAGAUAAUAGAUUUAUGUAUCAUAUCAGCCAAUGUAAGUCAUCAUUUUCUAUAACUUGCAGCUGAAAGCCAUCUGAUAUGAUCCUACAAACAAAGGCACACUAUGUGCCAAACUCUAUGUCCAAGAUUGUUUACUGCAGCCUAGUUAAUAACAGCUAAAAACUGGAAACCCAAAAGUCCAUCCUGGCUGAGUAAAUUAGGGUCCAUCCAUAUUACAGAAUGCUAAGCAGCUCUUAAAAAGGGAGAGGGGUUCUAUAUGUGCUGAUAUGAAAAAAAUGUCCACGAUACGUGAUUAGUUGACAAAAAACAGAGUACAGAACAGUAUAUGUAGUAGGAUCUCACUUGUGUAAAAUAUACACACAUGCUUUUAUCCACAUCUUGGGUAGGGAUGACAGCAUCUAACUAGGCAGAGCAGAUGCAUAAGGACAUCACAUGCCUGUUUCUGGAACUAAGGAGCAUACAGAAUUGGAUAAGAGCAAACGGCAACAGGAUUAACGAGCACCCGUACACCCACAUAGAUACAAUUCUGGAAGGAUGCCAUAAAAUUGCUAACAAUGAGCCAGGCGCGGUGGCUCAUGCCUGUGAUCCUAGCACUUUGGGAAGCCGAGGUAGGAAGAUCACGAGGUCAGGAGUUCGAGACCAGCCUGGCCAACACAGUGAAACCCUGUCUCUACUAAAAAUACAAAAAAAAAAAAAAAAAAAAAAAAAAAAACUAGCCAGGCAUGGUGGCGGGCACCUGUAAUCCCAACUACUUGGGAGCUGAGGCAGGAGAAUCGCUUGAACUCGGGAGGCAGAGAUUGCAGUGAGCCAAGAUCACGCCAUUGCACUCCAGCCUGAGCGACAGUUCGAGACUUUUGUCUCAAAAAAAAAAAAAAAAUUUGCUAACAAUGGCUACAACUCGGGAGUGGCAAGUGGGAGGUGAAUUAGUUUUCAUUCAACGGCCUCUAUACUGUUCGAAUUUUUUACCAUAGCAUGUACUACGUUUAUCUUUUUUUUUUUUUUUUUUUUUUUUUUAAUGAGACAGGGUCUCACUCUGUCACCCAGGCUGGAGUGCAGUGGCACAAUCAUGGCUCACUACAUCCUGUAUCUUCUGGGCUCAAGCAAGCUCCCACCUCAGCCUCCGGAGCAGCUGGGACCACAGGUAUGUGCCACCACACCUGAAUAAUUUUUUUUUGCUUGUUUUUUUUUGAUAGAAGGUCUCACCGUGUUGCCCAGGCUGGCCUCAAACUCUUGAACUUAAGCAAUCCUCUUGACUUGGCCUCCUAAUGUGCUGGGAUUACAGGCGUGAGACACUGCAUCCAGCCUAUAAUUUCUUAAAUCAAGAUGAAAAAUACUUUCAAAAUGUUCAAAGGAUUCAAUUAUAACACUUCACAGAAAUUCAAAUGGCAAAUAUAUAUAGAAAAAUCACUGCCUAGAAAUUCAUUCAAAUCAUCUACAAUCUUUCUAGCUACUGAUAGUGAUAUGAAUUAGGGGACUACACAUUAAUAUUAAUAUAGCCUAAGUAAAAUAAAUUUUAAAAGAUACAAUCCAAAUGCACACAUGUGCUCUCCAAAGCCAAAUAGCUUUUUCCAGUGAUCCACAUGGCUGUUACCUGCCAGGGAUGAGAGUUGCCCGUGAUGCUUGGAGAAUAACUUUGGGAAGAUCCAGGUUCUGCUUGGCCUCCCAGGUUUACUUUUAAAGCCCAGCUUGCAUGUGGGGCACUUCAUCAGAAUUACUGAGUGAAUAUGCUGUCUUUGGUAUUUCUUCAAGUUCGAAAAUUAUACCUCCCUUGGAGUUAUUUUUGCCAACAACUUUUUCUUUUUUUUUUUUUUGAGACAAAGUCUUACUCUGUCACCCAUGCUGGAGUGCAAUGGCACCAUCUCGGCUCACGGCAAUCUCUGCCUCCCAGGUUCAAGCCAUUCUCCUGCCUCAGCCUCCCAAGUGGCUGGGAUUACAGGCACAUGCUACCAUGAAGGCUAAUUUUUGUAUUUUUAGUAGAGACGGGGUUUCACCAUGUUGGCCAGGCUGGUCUCAAACUCCUGACCUCAAGUGAUCCGCCCACCUUGGCCUCCCCAAGUGCUGGGAUUACAGGUGUAAGUCACCGUACCUGGCCUUGCCACCAACUUUUAAUCCACCCUUCUAAAGCAUUCAGGAUAGAAAAAAAAUGGACAUCAUCUUAUUUCUGACAAGUUCUUUGCUGAAAAGCUUUGCUCUCAUGGAGCACAUCCCACCUGUUCUAUAAAAGCCCUAAUAUUACCCAAUUUCUAUUCUUUCCUCAAUAAGCAUUUGGAGAGCUCUGUUCAUUCUUGAAAUAGCACUCCCUGUCCUUACUGCCUCUACCAAUUUGUCUGAGAGUGGUGAUUUUUUUUUAAAUACCUUCCUAUCCCUUGCAAAGCCCUUUGAUAAACUGGCAAUAAAGACAGUAUCAGUAGCUUGUUAUGACAAUAUUAGUUACAAUAUUGUUUAAUAGCUUUUUAGAGCCUAGCACAGCCCAGAACAUAAAAGGAACUUUAAAGAAAAAAAGAAAUAGUCAUUCAAUGGUUUAUUCAAGAUGUACCGAUUGAAAAGCUGGACGAGUCAAAAAUAUUAUCAGUAUAGUUCUCUUGACAGUAAGUGGGACCAGCCUAGCACACACUUUCUCUGCCAACAUCCCCCCACUGUCCUCGCUAGGAAGUGUGGUCCAUUAAGUCCUUGAAUCCUCAUAAGAGUGACUUUAGAGUUGUAACUAUAGAGACAAACAAAGGUAUGAGAGUUACGAAGAUCCAAGCAAAUGUUCUCAAAAUGUCUCGAAAGCCUGUACUUGGGACAGGCAAGGAGAAAGAACAGAAUUCACAAUUUCAUCAGGCAGUGAAGAAAUUUGUUUAAAAAAAAAAAAAAAAAAAAAGCUGCAAACCUGAACUAGAUGGUGCAGAAUUCAAAUGGAAAGAAGAUGUGAAGGAAUUUCGUAAGUCUGUCAGGAAAAAACACAAACCAACAACUGUACGAUAUGGACACUGAAUAUCCUCUGACAUUGCAAAGACCCUAAACUAGGCUCCCUGUGCCCAGUGGUGGCCUGGACAAAUGACCCUGCACAUGUGCAUCCCAUAGGUCUCUUGGCCUGGAUGAAAGUCUCUGGCAGCAGCUGCAGCCCAUAGAGAUGGUCAACAUCUCAUAGUCAUAUACUGUCUUGGAAACUUCAGACUACAACACCAGCACUUCCUCAGGCUCCCCUUCCUCCAAGCACAGCAUGAGCCAAUGCAGAAUGCUCAUUUUGGCCUUAUUUUAAAGGUGGAAGUGGAAGGGUGGCACCAUGGUUUUCAUAAUCAAGGGUGCCAGCUAGCCUACUUUUCUAGAACCUGAGAUCACUGGGGGAUGGGCGGAAGCUUAGAGGCCAUCGGCAUCUUUCAGAGAUGAAGAAAGCAAAGCCCAGGGAGGCAAAGGGAGUUCGCCGUGGGCAUGCCAGAGGCAGCGGCAGAGCCAGAACAAGAACCCAGUGCUCUCUCAGCUGCGCAUGGUGGUGCACGCCUGUAAUCAAAGGAAGCCAAGGUGGGAGGAUCACCUGAGGUCAGGAGUUUGAGACCAUCCUGGCCAACAUGGUGAAACUCUGUCUCUACUAAAAAUACAAAAAUUUGUUGGGCAUGGUAUGCCUGUAAUCCCAGCUACUCUGGAGGCUGAGGCAGGAGAAUCGCUUGAACCCAGGAGUUGGAGGUUAUGGUGAGCCAAAAUUGCACCACUGCACUCUAGCCUGGGCAACAGAGUGAGACUCUGUCUCAAGCCAAAUAAUAAUAAUAAUAAUAAUAAUAGCACAGAGAGAAAUGUGCUGGGUGACCUGCGCAGUGUCGUCCCGGCCUUUCCAGGGUGGAGGGAAUACAGUGGCAUUCAACAGACACCUUGUAACUCAUCACAGAUGUCCAUGAGAAGCCACAUGGAUGGAAUCUGAGUCCAGGCACACAUUUUCCAGAGAAAGAAAAGAAGUUGCUGUGGGUAGAAAGGAGUUUUGAGGCUCCAUGGAGACAGGCUUUAGACGGAAAAAAGACAUUUUAGAAAAUGCAGUGUAGAAAGCUCCCACACAUCCAGCCCACUAAGUCUCUGAAUGUGAGGAAUUUUUGGCUGCCUUCUGACUUAAAAAAAAAAAAAGAAAGGAAGGAAGAAAAGCUUUAAAACAGAGAUACCUUUAAAAGAAAAAAAAAAUCUUUCUGAAAGAAUUAUCUGCUAUUUCAGGUAAUUUUAAAACUAUGAAAUAAGAAAUUCCCCUUCCUGAGGCAAACUAAGGCAGUGACGUCUUACCAGUGAGUGUUGGUGAAAUAGAAUCAGAGAAGCUGUAUCCACCUGUAAGAUGCCAGGCGAGGAGACGAGAACAGCUGUUCAUCAGCUCUCUCUCCAUAUGUAAAUCUUCAGUGGCGUAUCAUGAGCAAAACCUCUGUGUUUUAGGGCUGUCCCCAGUCGUCUGCUGUGGUGAAGACUCAGCUUUGAGCUGAGAGGCAGAGAGAAGCAGCAGAACCAUGUGCCCACCCCUCGACCCCCUGCAGGGCCUCACAUCACCGCUUCUACAAACACGGAGUGCGUGUCUACUGUAUGCCAGGCACUGUUCUUGGCACUUUAGACGCUUCUAUGGAAAGGGAUUACACUUCCCACUUCCUCCCUCAUUCACCGUCUCCCUCACUUCCAAGACUAUUCCUGAAGUCUCCCUUCAAUCUGCCGUUCAGUACUGUGAGCCGACCUCCUUUCACUUUGGCGCUGAUGCCAAACAGCUAACCCCACGGGCUCUCUAAAACAUAUGUCCUUGAAAGCUGUUGUAUCUGUAACUUCUGGGCCAAAAAAUACGGAUCCCACAGCCUUUCUUCUUUCUCAUGGACCUGAUUUCCCAACGCUAUAUCCUCACUGGUGCUCUCAUGAAAAUUUAUUUCCAGAACUUCAUGUCCACAAUUUGACAAAUGGUUUUGCUCUGAUUCUGACGUGGGCGUGCACCUACGUGGUCUCCUGCUAUCCAGGCUAACUAUGGUGCGCUUGUGCUUAUUACUCCUCAUUCUCCAAUUCUCCAAAGUACUUGAGUUGUACCACCAUUUCCACCUGAAUUGUGAAGGUAAUGACCACUUCAAGCUAAGACAAUUCCCACUGCAAACUGCAUUCUAUUGGCCGGGCACGGUGGCUCACACCUGUAAUCCCAGCACUUUGGGAGGCCAAGGUGGGUGGACCAUUUGAGGUCAGGAGUUUGAGACCAGCCUGGACAAGAUGGUGAAACCCUGCCUCUAUUAAAAAUAUAAAAAUUAGCCAGACACAGUGGUGAGUGCCUGUAGUCCCAGCUAGUUGGGAGGCUGAGGCAGGAGAACCACUUGAACCUAGGAGGUAGAGGUUAUAGUGAGCCAAGAUCGCACCACUGCACUCCAGCCUGGGCGACACAGCGAGACUCUAUCUCAAAACAAGCAAACAAACAACAACAACAAAACUCCAUUCUAUUACUAGCUAUUAAUAAAAUAUCCAACAAACUGGCCAGGCGCAGUGGCUCACGUCUGUAAUCCCAGCACUUUGGGAGGCUGAGGAGAGCAGAUCACUUGAGGUCAGGAGUUCGAGACCAGCCUGGCCAACAUGGCAAAACCCCAUCUCUACUAAAAAUACAAAAAUUAGCUGGACAUGGUGGUGGGUGCCUGUAAUCCCAGCUACUUGGGAGGCUGAGGCAGGAGAAUUGCUUGAACCCAGGAGGUGGAGGUUGCCAUGAGCCGAGAUCACACCACUGCACUCCAGCCUGGGUGACAGAGCGAGACUCCAUCUCAAAAAAAAAAGAAAUAAAAUAUAAAUAUAUAUAUAUGUAUAUAUCUCUCCAACAAACUACAUAUCUAAAGCUAAUCUUCCUACCACCCUUCCCGAUGUCACACUAAUGCACCAAUUGCACACAUAUCUAAUGACUGUGUGGUCUAAACCAGUGGCCACACAUCAGAGAUGCCUGGAAAGCUUUAAUUUUUUUUUUUUUUUUUUUACCAUGAACAUGCAGGAAGGAAAGUCCUUUUUAGCAUUUUAUUUUGAAAUAAUUAUAGACUCACAAGGAACUCCAAAAAUAGUGCAGAGAGUACUCAACCUUUUACUUUCUCUCUUUGUUUUCUUAUUUUCCUUAACCUUAACCUUUUUUUCACAUCUCUUAUCUUCUAUGUAAGAAAGUACCAGCACCCAACUUCCCCCAGGAGGGACAUCUCACAUAACCAAAGGAGGUUGGCUGCAUAGGGCAAUGAGCUAGACUACAGAUCCUACCCUGAUGGCAAGAGUUUUUGCAUGCAUUUGUUUAUUUGAUAUAUCCUUAUGCACAAUUAUAUGACAUCUUCUCACACAGAUUUAUCGAGAUGCAUUUCUGUCCCAUCCACACAAAGGAGCUCUCCUUACUGCCCUUACAGCCCCCAACCCCCACUCUCUCCUCCCUGGCAACCAUUUGUCUGUUCUCCAUCUCUGUAUGAUGUCACUGUGAGAAUGUUAUAUAAAUGGCACCAUACAGUAACCUUUUGAGAUUGGCUUUUUUUCAUUCAUUGAAAGCUUUUAAUAAAUCACAUGUUCUAAGUUUCAUCACUACCCCUACCACCUCACCCUAAGCCCUAGGAUUCUGAUUCAGUCGAUCUAAGGUGGGAUCCAGAAAAUGGCAUAUUCAAAAGCUGCCCAAGGAAUCCUUACCCACUGCAGCUUCUGAGCCACUGGCCUGGACCAUCUCCUCCAGCUAACGGAUGUCUGUGGUGUUAAAGAUGGAAUCAAGGCCAGGCGCGGUGGC